CAAUCAAACCGGGAGAUAGCUGGUUCUCCCCGAAAGCUAUUUAGGUAGCGCCUCGUGAAUUCAUCUCCGGGGGUAGAGCACUGUUUCGGCUAGGGGGCCAUCCCGGCUUACCAACCCGAUGCAAACUGCGAAUACCGGAGAAUGUUAUCACGGGAGACACACGGCGGGUGCUAACGUCCGUCGUGAAGAGGGAAACAACCCAGACCGCCAGCUAAGGUCCCAAAGUCAUGGUUAAGUGGGAAACGAUGUGGGAAGGCCCAGACAGCCAGGAUGUUGGCUUAGAAGCAGCCAUCAUUUAAAGAAAGCGUAAUAGCUCACUGGUCGAGUCGGCCUGCGCGGAAGAUGUAACGGGGCUAAACCAUGCACCGAAGCUGCGGCAGCGAACGUAUCACCCAAGACAACUUUACGGAGUUGACGAUUGACGGAGCGAAGCGACGUCAAAGCGUUCAUUAAAGUCGAGUUGGCUUAGGGAUACGUUCGUUGGGUAGGGGAGCGUUCUGUAAGCCUGUGAAGGUGUGUCGUGAGGCAUGCUGGAGGUAUCAGAAGUGCGAAUGCUGACAUAAGUAACGAUA
This 572-nucleotide ribosomal RNA is filed under the name Salmonella enterica. RNAcentral's name for it is "partial 23S ribosomal RNA". It matches the Rfam family "Bacterial large subunit ribosomal RNA", at positions 830 to 1314 of the family's 2925-position model. The record is from RNAcentral. RNAcentral also lists the same sequence under 1 other name. Lineage: Bacteria; Pseudomonadati; Pseudomonadota; Gammaproteobacteria; Enterobacterales; Enterobacteriaceae.